Molecule: ribosomal RNA, 565 nt
Filed under: uncultured Glomeromycotina
Lineage: Eukaryota; Fungi; Glomeromycota
Description: SSU rRNA
Rfam family: Eukaryotic small subunit ribosomal RNA
Source: RNAcentral
UUGGAGGGCAAGUCUGGUGCCAGCAGCCGCGGUAAUUCCAGCUCCAAUAGCGUAUAUUAAAGUUGUUGCAGUUAAAAAGCUCGUAGUUGAAUUUCGGGGUUAGUAGGUUGGUCAUGCCACUGGUAUGUACUGGUCUCACUGAUUCCUCCUUCCUGAUGAGACGUAAUGCCAUUAAUUUGGUGUUGCGAGGAAUCUGGACUGUUACUUUGAAAAAAUUAGAGUGUUUAAAGCAAGCUAACGCUUGAAUACAUUAGCAUGGAAUAAUGAAAUAGGACGUUUGAUUCUAUUUUGUUGGUUUCUAGGAUUGACGUAAUGAUUAAUAGGGAUAGUUGGGGGCAUUAGUAUUCAAUUGUCAGAGGUGAAAUUCUUGGAUUUAUUGAAGACUAACUACUGCGAAAGCAUUUGCCAAGGAUGUUUUCAUUAAUCAAGAACGAAAGUUAGGGGAUCGAAGACGAUCAGAUACCGUCGUAGUCUUAACCAUAAACUAUGCCGACUAGGGAUCGGAUGAUGUUAAUUUUUUAAUGACUCAUUCGGCGCCUUACGGGAAACCAAAGUGUUUGGGUUC